Molecule: ribosomal RNA, 424 nt
Filed under: uncultured bacterium
Lineage: Bacteria
Description: bacterial SSU rRNA
Rfam family: Bacterial small subunit ribosomal RNA
Source: RNAcentral
AGGGAAUCUUCCGCAAUGGACGAAAGUCUGACGGAGCAACGCCGCGUGAGUGAUGAAGGUUUUCGGAUCGUAAAGCUCUGUUGCCAGGGAAGAACGUCUUCUGGAGUAACUGCCAGGAGAGUGACGGUACCUGAGAAGAAAGCCCCGGCUAACUACGUGCCAGCAGCCGCGGUAAUACGUAGGGGGCAAGCGUUGUCCGGAAUUAUUGGGCGUAAAGCGCGCGCAGGCGGCUGUUUAAGUCUGGUGGUUAAUCCUGGGGCUCAACCCCGGGUCGCACUGGAAACUGGACGGCUUGAGUGCAGAAGAGGAGAGUGGAAUUCCACGUGUAGCGGUGAAAUGCGUAGAGAUGUGGAGGAACACCAGUGGCGAAGGCGGCUCUCUGGUCUGUAACUGACGCUGAGGCGCGAAAGCGUGGGGAGCAAAC